AUUGAACGCUGGCGGCAUGCUUUACACAUGCAAGUCGAACGGCAGCGCGGGCUUCGGCCUGGCGGCGAGUGGCGAACGGGUGAGUAAUAUAUCGGAACGUACCCAAGAGUGGGGGAUAACGUAGCGAAAGUUACGCUAAUACCGCAUACGAUCUAAGGAUGAAAGCAGGGGAUCGCAAGACCUUGUGCUCCUGAGCAGCC
RNAcentral lists this ribosomal RNA (200 nucleotides) under uncultured bacterium. RNAcentral's name for it is "partial 16S ribosomal RNA". It matches the Rfam family "Bacterial small subunit ribosomal RNA", at positions 30 to 231 of the family's 1533-position model. The record is from RNAcentral.